CCUGAGCCGCCUGGGAGCAGGGAGGGUUCUGCUACCCUGAGGGGCCCUCCCCGCGGGGCAGAGGGGUUUCCUCAGCAGUGCCCCGGAGCAGGGACCGCGCCAGCCAGCAGAAACAGCUAGUUGUUGUCUGCAGUGAAGAAUAAUUGGAAGCAUGGUGCCUGUUUCUUUUCCUUGACAUGAAAUUACUGAAAUCAUAUUUGGCCGAGCAAGCAUGAAGACCACAGAAGGACAGAGAUGGGAGAUCGUCAUUAGUUUAACAAGGAGCCAAGAAUAGGACAGCUUGGGAAGGUGAGCUGCGUAUAGCUCGUCAGGCUGAGCUCAUCCUCGUCUACGGCCAAACGUUGGUUUCUCAUUUCUAGAAGAUGAAAGAUGUGAUGACUCAGGAAAAACUUGCUGCUCGAGAUGUGAGUCUUCAGAUGUUCCUGCCGCCAUAUCUGACAGCUGCUGCCAAGAUUCCCUGGUGGGAUGGACUCUUAUACCUCAACAACCAGAAGCCCAAGUAAACUCUUCUAUAAAUUGAAUGACUCAUGCUUAAAAAAAAAAACAAAAAACAAACUAUCUUUAUUUUGUGUGCAUUGGUGUUUUGCCUACAUAUAUGUCUGUGUGAGAGUGUCAGAUUCCUUGGAACUGUAGCUACAGAUAGUUGUGAGCCACCAUGUGGGUGCUGGGACUUGAACCCCAGUCCUCUAGAAGAGCAGCUGGUAGGUACUCUUAACCACUGGACCAUCCCUCUAGACCCUGAUCAUGGUGUUUUAACUACAGCAAAAGAAAAGUAAUUAGCACAAUCAGGUUAGCCAGAGGGCACACCUGUGACAGAUUUUUCCUAAGUGCAUUCAUCAGGGGGAGGCCCACCCUGGAUGGGGGCAGCACCCUUCCUUGGGUUUGGGUCUUAGAAAGAAUAAACACAGAGAGGGAGCUGAGCACAAGCCAGCAAGCACAAGCUAAGCAAGCACUGUCCAGUCUUCCUCUGCUUUGACUGAGGAUGUGACGUGUCUAGCUGCUUCAGGUUUCUGCCUCGAAUCCCCUGCAGUCAUAGACUAUAACCUGGAAUUGUGAGCCAAAAGAAAAACAAAAGAAAACAAAAUCCAUUUUCUCCCCAUAUGUUGCUUUUUGGUCAAAGCAUUUGAUCCCAGUAACAGAAAAGAAAUGAGGACAGGCAAGAAGAGGCCAUACCACAGAGCCAGGAGCAGGUUGUAGUGCCAAGUUGCAGAGGCCGGGGAGGAGCAUAGGUGCAGAGCAGCCGCUGUCAGAAUGUUCAGGGAAAAGGAGAAGAGAGGAUGUGUCAGGGAAGUGAGCUGGCUCAGUCCAUAACAGCAUGGUCUUGCUGUCUUUUACAGGGUCUGAAGUCUACCUUAGUGCAGUGGGAGCCACUAACUGUCCUAGUAUGAAGGAAGGAUAUUGAUGUUUUUUGGGCAUGUAAGUGUGUGUGUGUGUGUGUGUGUGUGUGUGUCCCCAUACUCUAGGGACUGAGCCUCCUCACCCAUGUACCACACAGCUUCAGUCCCAGUCCCAUAUUUUGUUUUCAAUCAAACUUUAUACAAAUGUUUCUCAAGAAAA
RNAcentral lists this long non-coding RNA (1557 nucleotides) under Mus musculus (house mouse). RNAcentral's name for it is "RIKEN cDNA 2210408F21 gene". Lineage: Eukaryota; Metazoa; Chordata; Mammalia; Rodentia; Muridae. The record is from RNAcentral.